RNAcentral lists this ribosomal RNA (253 nucleotides) under uncultured bacterium. Its description in RNAcentral is "partial 16S ribosomal RNA". It matches the Rfam family "Bacterial small subunit ribosomal RNA", at positions 524 to 776 of the family's 1533-position model. The record is from RNAcentral.
UACGGGGGGGGCAAGCGUUGUUCGGAAUUACUGGGCGUAAAGGGCUCGUAGGCGGCCAACUAAGUCAGACGUGAAAUCCCUCGGCUUAACCGGGGAACUGCGUCUGAUACUGGAUGGCUUGAGUUUGGGAGAGGGAUGCGGAAUUCCAGGUGUAGCGGUGAAAUGCGUAGAUAUCAGGAGGAACACCGGUGGCGAAGGCGGAUCUCUGGGCCUGUCCUGACGCUCAGGCGCGAAAGCUAGGGGAGCAAACAGG